This 420-nucleotide ribosomal RNA is filed under the name uncultured bacterium. Its description in RNAcentral is "bacterial SSU rRNA". It matches the Rfam family "Bacterial small subunit ribosomal RNA", at positions 340 to 752 of the family's 1533-position model. The record is from RNAcentral.
UACGGAAGGCAGCAGUGGGGAAUAUUGCACAAUGGGCGCAAGCCUGAUGCAGCCAUGCCGCGUGUAUGAAGAAGGCCUUCGGGUUGUAAAGUACUUUCAGCGGGGAGGAAGGCGAUGCGGUUAAUAACCGCGUCGAUUGACGUUACCCGCAGAAGAAGCACCGGCUAACUCCGUGCCAGCAGCCGCGGUAAUACGGAGGGUGCAAGCGUUAAUCGGAAUUACUGGGCGUAAAGCGCACGCAGGCGGUCUGUUAAGUCAGAUGUGAAAUCCCCGGGCUUAACCUGGGAACUGCAUUUUGAACUGGCAGGCUUGAGUCUUGUAGAGGGGGUAGAAUUCCAGGUGUAGCGGUGAAAUGCGUAGAGAUCUGGAGGAAUACCGGUGGCGAAGGCGGCCCCUGGGACAAAGACUGACGCUCAGGGU